UACGUAGGGUGCAAGCGUUGUCCGGAAUUAUUGGGCGUAAAGAGCUCGUAGGCGGUCUGUCGCGUCGGCUGUGAAAUCCCCGAGGCUCAACCUCGGGUCUGCAGUCGAUACGGGCAAACUAGAGUAUUGCAGGGGAGACUGGAAUUCCUGGUGUAGCGGUGAAAUGCGCAGAUAUCAGGAGGAACACCGGUGGCGAAGGCGGGUCUCUGGGCAAUAACUGACGCUGAGGAGCGAAAGCAUGGGGAGCGAACAGG
This 254-nucleotide ribosomal RNA is filed under the name uncultured bacterium. RNAcentral describes it as "partial 16S ribosomal RNA". It matches the Rfam family "Bacterial small subunit ribosomal RNA", at positions 524 to 776 of the family's 1533-position model. The record is from RNAcentral.